UGGUGACUUGGUGACUUGGGAGGAGGAAUGAAGUCGCCGGGAUCUGGUGACUUGGUGAGGGGAAGCGAGAUCUGAGGGGGAUGACGGUGGCGAGGUUGGGCGCUGCUUCGUUAGAAGUGGAGGCUCCGUCUGCUGCUAGGGCGAAGCGAGAUCUGAGGGGGAUGCCGGUAGGCUCCGUCUGCUGCUGCUGUUCGCCAGAUUCUAGAGGGGAGGGGAAGUCGAAAAGAGAGAGAGAGAGAGAGAGUGUCGCCGGAGCUCUGAAGUCGGCGGCGACGCUCUGGCCGUUGAAGAGGGGAGGGGAAGUCGAAGAGAGAGAGAGAGAGAGUGUCGACGGAGCUCUAGGUGUCGGCGGCGACGCUCUGGCCGUUGAAGAGGGGAGGGGAAGUCGAAGAGAGAGAGAGAGAGAGUGUGGGGAGGAAUGAAAUUAAAGUGAAAAAUGAA
Molecule: long non-coding RNA, 441 nt
Filed under: Salvia miltiorrhiza (redroot sage)
Lineage: Eukaryota; Viridiplantae; Streptophyta; Magnoliopsida; Lamiales; Lamiaceae
Description: long non-coding RNA (SMIL_LNC000853)
Source: RNAcentral